RNAcentral lists this ribosomal RNA (253 nucleotides) under uncultured bacterium. RNAcentral's name for it is "partial 16S ribosomal RNA". It matches the Rfam family "Bacterial small subunit ribosomal RNA", at positions 524 to 776 of the family's 1533-position model. The record is from RNAcentral.
UACGUAGGGUGCAAGCGUUAAUCGGAAUUACUGGGCGUAAAGGGCGUGCAGGCGGUUUGUUAAGUCUAGGGUGAAAGCUCCCGGCUCAACUGGGAGAGGUCCUUGGAUACUGGCGAACUUGAGGGAUGCAGAGGAAAGUGGAAUUCCCGGUGUAGUGGUGAUAUGCGUAGAUAUCGGGAGGAACACCAGUGGCGAAGGCGACACGCUGGGCCGUACCUGACACUGAUGCGCGACAGCAUGGGGAGCAAACAGG